RNAcentral lists this ribosomal RNA (451 nucleotides) under uncultured Fibrobacter sp. RNAcentral's name for it is "partial 16S ribosomal RNA". It matches the Rfam family "Bacterial small subunit ribosomal RNA", at positions 341 to 792 of the family's 1533-position model. The record is from RNAcentral. Lineage: Bacteria; Pseudomonadati; Fibrobacterota; Fibrobacteria; Fibrobacterales; Fibrobacteraceae.
ACGGGAGGCAGCAGUAGGGAAUAUUGGACAAUGGGGGGAACCCUGAUGCGGCAACGCCACGUGUGGGAAGACGCAUUUCGGUGUGUAAACCACUGUCGUGAGGGAAUAAGGCUACUUUCCGGAGUAGUUGAAUGUACCUUGAAAGGAAGCACCGGCAAACUUCGUGCCAGCAGCCGCGGUAAUACGAGGGGUGCAAGCGUUGUUCGGAAUCACUGGGCGUAAAGGGAGCGCAGGCGGAGAUGCAAGCGGACUGUACAAUACCGGGGCCCAACCCCGGACCUGCAGUCCGGACUGCACCUCUUGGAUAGUUCAGGGGCAAGCGGAAUUCCUGGUGUAGCGGUGGAAUGCGUAGAGAUCAGGAAGAACACCGAUGGCGAAGGCAGCUUGCUGGGGACUAAUCGACGCUCAUGCUCGAAAGUGCGGGUAGCAAACAGGAUUAGAUACCCUGGUA